CCCUACUGCUAUUGGGGUGGGACUAAGACAUGCGAGUUGUGCGUCUCUAAGCCAUGGUAGAGACGCAGCGUACGGCUCAGUAACACGUGGCUAACCUACCCUUAGGACGGGGACAACCCCGGGAAACUGGGGCUAAUACCCGAUAGGUGAGGAGGCCUGGAAUGGUUCCUAGUCGAAAAGGCGUUGAAACCAUGCUUUUCGACGUCGCCUAAGGAUGGGGCCGCGCCCGAUCAGGUUGUUGGUGGGGUAACGGCUCACCAAACCUAUAACCGGUACGGGCCGUGAGAGCGGGAGCCCGGAGAUGGGCACUGAGACAAGGGCCCAGGCCCUACGGGGCGCAGCAGUCGCGAAAACUCCGCAAUGCGCGAAAGCGUGACGGGGCUAUCCCGAGUGCCGUCCGCUGAGGAUGGCUUUUCCCCGGUGUAAUGAGCCGGGGGAAUAAGGAGAGGGCAAGUCUGGUGUCAGCCGCCGCGGUAAUACCAGCUCUCCGAGUGGUAGGGAUGAUUAUUGGGCUUAAAGCGUCCGUAGCCGGCUUAGCAAGUCUCCUGUUAAAUUCAGCGACCUAAUCGUUGAGCCGCGGGAGAUACUACUAGGCUAGGAGGCGGGAGAGGCCGACGGUAUUCUCGGGGUAGGGGUGAAAUCCUAUAAUCCCGGGAGGACCACCAGUGGCGAAGGCUGUCGGCUAGAACGCGCUCGACGGUGAGGGACGAAAGCUGGGGGAGCAAACCGGAUUAGAUACCCGGGUAGUCCCAGCUGUAAACGAUGCGGGCUAGGUGUUGGGGUGGCUACGAGCCACUUCAGUGCCGCAGGGAAGCCGUUAAGCCCGCCGCCUGGGGAGUACGGCCGCAAGGCUGAAACUUAANGGAAUUGGCGGGGGAGCACCACAAGGCGUGAAGCUUGCGGUUC
Molecule: ribosomal RNA, 906 nt
Filed under: uncultured archaeon
Lineage: Archaea
Description: bacterial SSU rRNA
Rfam family: Archaeal small subunit ribosomal RNA
Source: RNAcentral